AACGAACGCUGGCGGCAUGCCUAACACAUGCAAGUCGAACGAGACCUUCGGGUCUAGUGGCGCACGGGUGCGUAACGCGUGGGAACCUGCCCUUAGGUUCGGAAUAACUCCCCGAAAGGGGUGCUAAUACCGGAUAAUGUCUUCGGACCAAAGAUUUAUCGCCUUUGGAUGGGCCCGCGUUGGAUUAGCUAGUUGGUAGGGUAAAAGCCUACCAAGGCGACGAUCCAUAGCUGGUCUGAGAGGAUGAUCAGCCACACUGGGACUGAGACACGGCCCAGACUGCGAGGGGAGGCAGCAGUGGGGAAUAUUGGAGAAGGGGCGGAAGCCGGAUCGAGCCAUACCGCGUGGGGGAAGAAGGCCUUCGGGUUGUAAAGCACUUUUGUUGGGAAAGAAAAGCAGCAGGGUAAUACCCCGCGGUUCUGACGGUACCCAAAGAAUAAGAACCGGCUAACUUCGUG
RNAcentral lists this ribosomal RNA (458 nucleotides) under uncultured bacterium. RNAcentral's name for it is "partial 16S ribosomal RNA". It matches the Rfam family "Bacterial small subunit ribosomal RNA", at positions 29 to 507 of the family's 1533-position model. The record is from RNAcentral.